AACCCAAUUUUAUAGGAAUUAAAACAAAAAAACAAAAAUAUAAAAAAUAUAAAAAAUAUAACUUAAUUCAUCUUUUGAUCCUUUAACAUAAUUUAAGUUUUCACUUUGAUCCCUUGUUUAAUAAACAUUAUAUUUUAGUCCCUCAAAAACUAUUUUGUGAGACAAUAUUAUUGAGGGCCUACCAUAACCUUUAUUAAUUAUUUUUAAAAUUUUAAUCAUUAGAUCUUUUUAAUAAAUAUCACAAGAUUAGAAAUUGAUAGUCUACUAAAUGUAACAAUAAACUAUUAACACAUAAUAAUUUUGAUAUAACUUCAUCUUCUUCCCUAUUCUCCUUCAUCAUCUUCAUCUUCUUCUUUCUUU
Molecule: long non-coding RNA, 360 nt
Filed under: Lathyrus oleraceus (garden pea)
Lineage: Eukaryota; Viridiplantae; Streptophyta; Magnoliopsida; Fabales; Fabaceae
Description: Pisum sativum (pea) long non-coding RNA (PSAT_LNC035462)
Source: RNAcentral